GAGCCUCCCGCCACAGAGGAAAAGGUUUCUAAUGCAUGUUUUAAUCUCAUUAUUGCUGAAGUUGUUCAUAAUUUAUUGUAUAUUUGUUGUUUUGAGAUUGGAAGAUAAUCUUUUUUAGAUGCUUAUUUCUACUUUGCUGCUGUUACACAAUACGUUACAAACAAUAGUUGGGACUGGGGGCUUCUAUACUCUUGAUACCUUUUCAAGAUAUGCAUUCUUUUCUUUUCUUUGACGUUAUGCAUUGAUUGUUUUUAUUAUCAAAAAUUGAUGUUGCCUAAAGAGGUUUUUGUUUCAUUUUGAUCUUAUUGUGGUUUUUCU
RNAcentral lists this unclassified non-coding RNA (318 nucleotides) under Hevea brasiliensis (rubber tree). Lineage: Eukaryota; Viridiplantae; Streptophyta; Magnoliopsida; Malpighiales; Euphorbiaceae. The record is from RNAcentral.